AUUGAACGCUGGCGGCAGGCCUAACACAUGCCAGUCGAGCGGAUGAAGGGAGCUUGCUCCUGGAUUCAGCGGCGGACGGGUGAGUAAUGCCUAGGAAUCUGCCUGGUAGUGGGGGAUAACGUCCGGGAACGGGCGCUAAUACCGCAUACGUCCUGAGGGAGAAAGUGGGGGAUCUUCGGACCUCACGCUAUCAGAUGAGCCUAGGUCGGAUUAGCUAGUUGGUGGGGUAAAGGCCUACCAAGGCGACGAUCCGUAACUGGUCUGAGAGGAUGAUCAGUCGCACUGGAACUGAGACACGGUCCAGACUCCUACGGGAGGCAGCAGUGGGGAAUAUUGGACAAUGGGCGAAAGCCUGAUCCAGCCAUGCCGCGUGUGUGAAGAAGGUCUUCGGAUUGUAAAGCACUUUAAGUUGGGAGGAAGGGCAGUAAGUUAAUACCUUGCUGUUUUGACGUUACCAACAGAAUAAGCACCGGCUAACUUCGUG
This 484-nucleotide ribosomal RNA is filed under the name uncultured bacterium. Its description in RNAcentral is "partial 16S ribosomal RNA". It matches the Rfam family "Bacterial small subunit ribosomal RNA", at positions 30 to 507 of the family's 1533-position model. The record is from RNAcentral.